UGCAGUCGACGAACUCUUCGGAGUUAGUGGCGGACGGGUGAGUAACACGUGGGAACGUGCCUUUAGGUUCGGAAUAACUCAGGGAAACUUGUGCUAAUACCGAAUGUGCCCUUCGGGGGAAAGAUUUAUCGCCUUUAGAGCGGCCCGCGUCUGAUUAGCUAGUUGGUGAGGUAAAGGCUCACCAAGGCGACGAUCAGUAGCUGGUCUGAGAGGAUGAUCAGCCACAUUGGGACUGAGACACGGCCCAAACUCCUACGGGAGGCAGCAGUGGGGAAUCUUGCGCAAUGGGCGAAAGCCUGACGCAGCCAUGCCGCGUGAAUGAUGAAGGUCUUAGGAUUGUAAAAUUCUUUCACCGGGGACGAUAAUGACGGUACCCGGAGAAGAAGCCCCGGCUAACUUCGUGCCAGCAGCCGCGGUAAUACGAAGGGGGCUAGCGUUGCUCGGAAUUACUGGGCGUAAAGGGAGCGUAGGCGGACAUUUAAGUCAGGGGUGAAAUCCCGGGGCUCAACCUCGGAAUUGCCUUUGAUACUGGGUGUCUUGAGUAUGAGAGAGGUGUGGGAACUCCGAGUGUAGAGGUGAAAUUCGUAGAUAUUCGGAAGAACACCAG
This 607-nucleotide ribosomal RNA is filed under the name Brevundimonas sp. Its description in RNAcentral is "bacterial SSU rRNA". It matches the Rfam family "Bacterial small subunit ribosomal RNA", at positions 56 to 712 of the family's 1533-position model. Lineage: Bacteria; Pseudomonadati; Pseudomonadota; Alphaproteobacteria; Caulobacterales; Caulobacteraceae. The record is from RNAcentral.